CUCCACGCCGUAAACGAUGUCAAUUAGGAGCUUGUGCUUAAGUAUGGGUUCCGCAGCUAACGCAAUAAAUUGACCGCCUGGGGAGUACGGCCGCAAGGUUAAAACUCAAAUGAAUUGACGGGGCCGCACAAGCGGUGGAGCAUGUGGUUUAAUUCGACGCAACGCGAAGAACCUUACCUGACCUUGACAUAGUGAGAACCUCUCUGAAGGGAGAGGUGCCUUCGGAGCUCACAUACAGGUGCUGCAUGGCUGUCGU
RNAcentral lists this ribosomal RNA (256 nucleotides) under uncultured bacterium. RNAcentral's name for it is "partial 16S ribosomal RNA". It matches the Rfam family "Bacterial small subunit ribosomal RNA", at positions 793 to 1055 of the family's 1533-position model. The record is from RNAcentral.